This 301-nucleotide ribosomal RNA is filed under the name uncultured bacterium. RNAcentral describes it as "partial 16S ribosomal RNA". It matches the Rfam family "Bacterial small subunit ribosomal RNA", at positions 509 to 809 of the family's 1533-position model. The record is from RNAcentral.
CAGUCGCCGCGGUAAUACGAAGGGUGCAAGCGUUAAUCGGAAUUACUGGGCGUAAAGCGUGCGUAGGCGGUGAGUUAAGUCUGCUGUGAAAUCCCCGGGCUCAACCUGGGAAUGGCAGUGGAUACUGGCUCGCUAGAGUGUGUCAGAGGAUGGUGGAAUUCCCGGUGUAGCGGUGAAAUGCGUAGAGAUCGGAAGGAACAUCUGUGGCGAAGGCGACUAUCUGGGCCAACACUGACACUGAGGCACGAAAGCGUGGGGAGCAAACAGGAUUAGAUACCCCAGUAGUCCCUGUCUCUUAUAA